AUGCUGGAGGCGUGAGCCGGAACGGUUCCCUGGGCGUAGCGCAGAGGCUCUCUGUCCCUGGCUUGCAUCAGUCUGAAAAUCGUUAUCGAUAGGUCAAUUUACACCCAUCGGCGAUUGACCGAAGACCCGUUCACUCGAGAAAGUCAUAAGACUGGCAAUUUGGGGUCAAAGGAACUUUAAUGACCAUGAAAUAUUUUUUAAAAUAAAGAGGUCAAGCUAACGUAGAACGCCACUGAAUUCAUUGGAAAUCGUUGCGAAUCACGUGAAAUUACGCGAUAGCGAUUUCCCAGCAUUGGAAGUCACCGCAAGUCUUGCCUGACUUGGUGUGAUUCACUGUGAUUUAAAUCCUACUGAAAAUCAUCUGUACCGGACUGAAGCGGUUCGCAAUCACGGGUGGAAAUUUGAGUCCAUAAAUAUCACUUGAUAGAUUGACGACGUGAUUUCAACACAAAGUUUUCCACAUGGAGGAACAGCUUCAGGAAUCGCCUACGUUAAUCCGGCGAUUUUCUCUGACAAUCGAUCCCACUUGGAAACCUUACCUUGGA
Long non-coding RNA from Neodiprion fabricii, 545 nucleotides. RefSeq lists it as uncharacterized. The transcript is spliced from 3 exons. Lineage: Eukaryota; Metazoa; Arthropoda; Insecta; Hymenoptera; Diprionidae. The record is from RefSeq and is a predicted model, not a curated record.